Molecule: long non-coding RNA, 781 nt
Filed under: Fukomys damarensis (Damara mole-rat)
Lineage: Eukaryota; Metazoa; Chordata; Mammalia; Rodentia; Bathyergidae
Description: lncRNA (ENSFDAG00000025218.1)
Source: RNAcentral
CGCACCUCCUAGACGCUCCACUAGGUGCUGCUGCCGCGCGGGGUGGACGGGUCCCGACCGGUCCUGACGGACAGUCCCGGGUCCUGGCCGCUCCUGAGGAACCGUCUCAGGUCCAGACGGGUUCUGACGGGCGGCGCUGGGUUCCAAGAGGCACUGGGUCCUGACCAGCAGCAAUCCUGAACAGAAACAGAUGCUGGGUCCCGAAGGCAACACCAGGCACUCUACCUGUACUUACAUUCUUAUUGGUAGGACUCAACAUCCAACACCUGCAAUUUAAAGCAAGAGAGGUUUAUUUUGGCUCACAAUUACAGUACUGGUUGGCUGUCUCCAAGGUAAGAAGACCGUGGUGGAAGAGUCUGGUGGAGGAAAGCUGCUUCCAUGGUGGUGGUCAGGAAGCAGAGAGUGAAGGGAAGAGCCAGAAAGGGAAAUAGACACUUCCAGGGCAUACCCCAGUAACCUGCUUCUUCCUUCCAGGCCCCACCGUUCAGUAGCGCACUUAGCUGCUAACCUCAGCAGUGGAUGAUUCCACUGAUGAGUACAGCACCUCUUCAUCUAACCACCCACCAAAAGCCACUCCCACACCUCUGAGCAUAUGAGAGUUUUGGAGACAUUCUAUAUUCAAGCCACAACACUGCCUCUCUGUGGAUUGCUUUUUUAUUCUUGGUGAUAUCUUUUAUCCUUACAUUUUAAAAUAGUUUUUUAUUUUGAUAUAAUCUGAUUAAUCAGUCUUCCUUAUGAUUAGCACUAGUUUAUGUUCUAGUUAAUGAUUUUUUUCUACCCU